Molecule: ribosomal RNA, 492 nt
Filed under: uncultured bacterium
Lineage: Bacteria
Description: partial 16S ribosomal RNA
Rfam family: Bacterial small subunit ribosomal RNA
Source: RNAcentral
AGUGAACGCUGGCGGUAGGCCUAACACAUGCAAGUCGAACGGCAGCACAGUAAGAGCUUGCUCUUACGGGUGGCGAGUGGCGGACGGGUGAGGAAUACAUCGGAAUCUACUUUUUCGUGGGGGAUAACGUAGGGAAACUUACGCUAAUACCGCAUACGACCUACGGGUGAAAGCAGGGGAUCUUCUGACCUUGCGCGAUUGAAUGAGCCGAUGCCGGAUUAGCUAGUUGGCGGGGUAAAGGCCCACCAAGGCGACGAUCCGUAGCUGGUCUGAGAGGAUGAUCGGCCACACUGGAACUGAGACACGGUCCAGACUCCUACGGGAGGCAGCAGUGGGGAAUAUUGGACAAUGGGCGCAAGCCUGAUCCAGCCAUACCGCGUGGGUGAAGAAGGCCUUCGGGUUGUAAAGCCCUUUUGUUGGGAAAGAAAAGCAGCAGGUUAAUACCCCGCUGUUCUGACGGUACCCAAAGAAUAAGCACCGGCUAACUUCGUG